AUUGAACGCUGGCGGCAGGCCUAACACAUGCAAGUCGAACGGUAACAGGAAACAGCUUGCUGUUUCGCUGACGAGUGGCGGACGGGUGAGUAAUGUCUGGGAAACUGCCUGAUGGAGGGGGAUAACUACUGGAAACGGUAGCUAAUACCGCAUAACGUCGCAAGACCAAAGAGGGGGACCUUCGGGCCUCUUGCCAUCGGACGUGCCCAGAUGGGAUUAGCUAGUAGGUGGGGUAACGGCUCACCUAGGCGACGAUCCCUAGCUGGUCUGAGAGGAUGACCAGCCACACUGGAACUGAGACACGGUCCAGACUCCUACGGGAGGCAGCAGUGGGGAAUAUUGCACAAUGGGCGCAAGCCUGAUGCAGUCAUGCCGCGUGUAUGAAGAAGGCCUUCGGGUUGUAAAGUACUUUCAGCGGGGAGGAAGGGAGUAAAGUUAAUACCUUUACUCAUUGACGUUACCCGCAGAAGAAGCACCGGCUAACUCCGUG
This 490-nucleotide ribosomal RNA is filed under the name uncultured bacterium. RNAcentral's name for it is "partial 16S ribosomal RNA". It matches the Rfam family "Bacterial small subunit ribosomal RNA", at positions 30 to 507 of the family's 1533-position model. The record is from RNAcentral.